GGAGAGGUGGCUGAGCGGUUGAAAGCGCCUGACUCGAAAUCAGGUAGAGGGGUUGACCUUCUCGUGGGUUCAAAUCCCACUCUCUCCGCCA
This 91-nucleotide transfer RNA is filed under the name Caldisericum sp. CG2_30_36_11. RNAcentral describes it as "tRNA-Ser". It matches the Rfam family "tRNA". Rfam says of the family: Transfer RNA (tRNA) molecules are approximately 80 nucleotides in length. Their secondary structure includes four short double-helical elements and three loops (D, anti-codon, and T loops). The record is from RNAcentral. Lineage: Bacteria; Pseudomonadati; Caldisericota; Caldisericia; Caldisericales; Caldisericaceae. RNAcentral also lists the same sequence under 2 other names.